UGUUAAUAUUAAUUAACCAGUCGGAUUUUACUGAACUAUUGAACUCUUAAACCUAAUAAAGGAACGAUUUUCUUCACGUGAUGGGAUGUUCUUUGUUAUGUGACUUGCAUCCGCUUUCUGUCGAGAUUAGAGGGGAUAUGUGUUUGAAUAAGGUUUUAUCGUUAUGGAAUUAUCAUAUUUAUUUACCUCAGAUAUAUGUGGGAGUGUCGGCACAGCAAUGGUAAGAUGUGUUCUUCUAUGUCCUCUGUACAGACUUUUUUCGAAAUACGUUGCCUGGAAAUUCGAAAUUUUGUUUUUUCGUGGAAGUAACGUGUACAACAAAUGGAAAAUAUAGCUGCAAGAUCAAACAGUUUUAAAUAAACUUUUAAUUAGGUGUUACAA
Molecule: long non-coding RNA, 381 nt
Organism: Anoplophora glabripennis (Asian longhorned beetle)
Lineage: Eukaryota; Metazoa; Arthropoda; Insecta; Coleoptera; Cerambycidae
Exons: 2
Source: RefSeq, a predicted model, not a curated record